AAAAAGCUCGUAGUUGGAUCUGGGUCGUAUGGCUAUGUGCCGUCGCUCGUGAGCCUGGCUUGGUUACGACUGGGUCGAGUUCAUGGGUCGGUGUCGUGGCUGUGCAGCCUUUCUGCCGUGUCUGUCCUAGGACAGGUGCUGGCUUUAUCGGUGGGCUUGUCCCGUCGGUGGGUCGGCAUGCACUCAGAUGCCUUUGAACGGGUGUCGGGUGCGGACGGUGCGUUUACUUUGAACAAAUUUGAGUGCUCAAAGCACGCCUGUGCCUGAAAAGUUUUGCAUGGAAUAAUGGAAUAGGACUUCGGUUCUAUUUUGUUGGUUUUCGGAUCCGAAGUAAUGGUUAAGAGGGACAGACGGGGGCAUUUGUAUGGCGGUGUUAGAGGUGAAAUUCUUGGAUCGCCGCCAGACAAACUACAGCGAAAGCAUUUGCCAAGGAUGUUUUCAUUGAUCUGGAGCGAAAGUCAGAGGUUCGAAGACGAUCAGAUACCGUCCUAGUUCUGACCAUAAACGAUGCCAACUGACGAUCCGUGGGUGUUCUUUUAAUGACCCUGCGGGCAGUCCCCGGGAAACCUUUAAGUUUUUGGGCUCCGGGGGAAGUAUGGUUGCAAAGCUGAAACUUAAAGGAAUUGACGGAAGGGCACCACCAGGAGUGGAGCCUGCGGCUUAAUUCGACUCAACACGGGAAAACUCACCCGGCCCGGACACUGUGAGGAUUGACAGAUUG
This 721-nucleotide ribosomal RNA is filed under the name Haplometrana intestinalis. RNAcentral describes it as "SSU rRNA". It matches the Rfam family "Eukaryotic small subunit ribosomal RNA", at positions 621 to 1250 of the family's 1831-position model. The record is from RNAcentral. Lineage: Eukaryota; Metazoa; Platyhelminthes; Trematoda; Plagiorchiida; Plagiorchiidae.